GAUCAUGGCUCAGGAUGAACGCUAGCGGCAGGCUUAACACAUGCAAGUCGAGGGGCGAGCGGGAUGUAAGCAAUACAUUGCCGGCGACCGGCGGAUGGGUGCGUAACGCGUAUGCAACCUACCUUAUACAGGGGAAUGACCUUUCGAAAGGGAGACUAACACCCCAUAGUAUUGAUUUAAGGCAUCUUAGAUUAAUUAAAUAUUUAUAGGUAUAAGAUGGGCAUGCGUAUGAUUAGCUAGUUGGUAAGGUAACGGCUUACCAAGGCGACGAUCAUUAGGGGUUCUGAGAGGAAGGUCCCCCCACACUGGUACUGAGACACGGACCAGACUCCUACGGGAGGCAGCAGUGAGGAAUAUUGGUCAAUGGGCGCAAGCCUGAACCAGCCAUGCCGCGUGCAGGGAAAGACGGCCUUAUGGGUUGUAAACUGCUUUUACAUAAGACUAACCGUAUAUUUGCGAAUAUACCUGAAUGUAUUAUGAGAAUAAGGAUCGGCUAACUCCGUGCCAGCCGCUGC
This 515-nucleotide ribosomal RNA is filed under the name uncultured bacterium. RNAcentral describes it as "bacterial SSU rRNA". It matches the Rfam family "Bacterial small subunit ribosomal RNA", at positions 15 to 518 of the family's 1533-position model. The record is from RNAcentral.